This 774-nucleotide ribosomal RNA is filed under the name uncultured Chloroflexota bacterium. RNAcentral's name for it is "bacterial SSU rRNA". It matches the Rfam family "Bacterial small subunit ribosomal RNA", at positions 568 to 1337 of the family's 1533-position model. The record is from RNAcentral. Lineage: Bacteria; Bacillati; Chloroflexota.
CGCGCAGGCGGUCGUCCAAGUCGCGUGUGAGAGCCCCCGGCUCAACUGGGGAGGGCCACGCGAUACUGAUCGACUCGAAGGCGGGAGAGGGUAGUGGAAUUCCCGGUGUAGUGGUGAAAUGCGUAGAUAUCGGGAGGAACACCAGUGGCGAAGGCGACUACCUGGCCUGUUCUUGACGCUGAGGCGCGAAAGCUAGGGGAGCAAACGGGAUUAGAUACCCCGGAUAGUCCUAGCCGUAAACGAUGGACACUAGGUGUUGGUGGUAUCAACCCCGCCAGUGCCGAAGCUAACGCAUUAAGUGUCCCGCCUGGGGAGUACGGCCGCAAGGCUAAAACUCAAAGGAAUUGACGGGGCCACGCACAAGCAGCGGAGCGUGGGGUUUAAUUCGACGCAACGCGAUAGAACCUUACCAGGGCUUGACAUGACCAGGAUCCCGGCGGAAACGUCGGUUCCCCGCAAGGGGCCUGGCCACAGGUGUUGCAUGGCUGUCGUCAGCUCGUGUCGUGAGAUGUUGGGUUAAGUCCCGCAGCGAGCGCAACCAUCGUCCUUAGUUGCCAGCACGUCAUGGUGGGCACUCUAGGGAGACUGCCAGUGAUAAACUGGAGGAAGGCGGAGAUAACGUCAAGUCAGCACGGCCCUUAUGCCCUGGGCAACACACGUGCUACAAUGGCCAGCACAGAGGGUCGCAAGACCGAAAGGUGGAGCAAAUCCCACAAAACUGGCCCCAGUUCAGAUUGAGGGCUGCAAUUCGCCCUCAUGAAGUCGGAAUCGCUA